GUGAGUAACGCGUAUGCAACUUACCUAUCAGAGGGGGAUAACCCGGCGAAAGUCGGACUAAUACCGCAUGAAGCAGGGGCCCCGCAUGGGGAUAUUUGCUAAAGAUUCAUCGCUGAUAGAUAGGCAUGCGUUCCAUUAGGCAGUUGGCGGGGUAACGGCCCACCAAACCGACGAUGGAUAGGGGUUCUGAGAGGAAGGUCCCCCACAUUGGUACUGAGACACGGACCAAACUCCUACGGGAGGCAGCAGUGAGGAAUAUUGGUCAAUGGGCGUAAGCCUGAACCAGCCAAGUCGCGUGAGGGAUGAAGGUUCUAUGGAUCGUAAACCUCUUUUAUAAGGGAAUAAAGUGCGGGACGUGUCCUGUUUUGUAUGUACCUUAUGAAUAAGGAUCGGCUAACUCCGUGCCAGCAGCCGCGGUAAUACGGAGGAUCCGAGCGUUAUCCGGAUUUAUUGGGUUUAAAGGGUGCGUAGGCGGCCUUUUAAGUCAGCGGUGAAAGUCUGUGGCUCAACCAUAGAAUUGCCGUUGAAACUGGGAGGCUUGAGUAUGUUUGAGGCAGGCGGAAUGCGUGGUGUAGCGGUGAAAUGCUUAGAUAUCACGCAGAACCCCGAUUGCGAAGGCAGCCUGCCAAGCCAUGACUGACGCUGAUGCACGAAAGCGUGGGGAUCAAACAGGAUUAGAUACCCUGGUAGUCCACGCAGUAAACGAUGAUCACUAGCUGUUUGCGAUACAGUGUAAGCGGCACAGCGAAAGCGUUAAGUGAUCCACCUGGGGA
This 773-nucleotide ribosomal RNA is filed under the name uncultured bacterium. Its description in RNAcentral is "bacterial SSU rRNA". It matches the Rfam family "Bacterial small subunit ribosomal RNA", at positions 106 to 879 of the family's 1533-position model. The record is from RNAcentral.